GUAGGUGGCAAGCGUUGUCCGGAUUUACUGGGCGUAAAGAGCGCGCAGGCGGUCGUGCAAGUCGCGUGUGAAAGCCCCCGGCUCAACUGGGGAGGGUCACGCGAUACUGUUCGACUCGAAGGCAGGAGAGGGAAGCGGAAUUCCCGGUGUAGUGGUGAAAUGCGUAGAUAUCGGGAGGAACACCAGUGGCGAAGGCGGCUUCCUGGCCUGUUCUUGACGCUGAGGCGCGAAAGCUAGGGUAGCAAACGGGAUUAGAUACCCCGGUAGUCCUAGCCGUAAACGAUGGACACUAGGUGUUGGUGGUAUCAACCCCGCCAGUGCCGAAGCUAACGCAUUAAGUGUCCCGCCUGGGGAGUACGGCCGCAAGGCUA
Molecule: ribosomal RNA, 371 nt
Filed under: uncultured bacterium
Lineage: Bacteria
Description: bacterial SSU rRNA
Rfam family: Bacterial small subunit ribosomal RNA
Source: RNAcentral